GGUGGGACUCUUAAGCAACUCAGCAAUUCUUGGCUUCUUUGGCACAAUCCUGGCGGGUGACUUGGCACUGAGAGAUGUUCCAGAAACUUCCUUGGACAGCGGGGUGGCGGGGAGGAGAGAUGUUCAAGAUUUAAUCUAUAGGUGGCUAAAUUGCUGGGUCAUUCAGCUGAGUGGGAGCCCCGCUCUACCUGGGUUCCUGCUUAGGGCCUAUGGAAUGGGACAGAGACUAUUCUGAGGCCCCUGAAGCCACACUGACCACUUCUCCCCAGACUCCCUUGAUUACCUCCUGUUUAGUCGUCAGAGAGAUGCUUAGAUGUCUGGGAAUAAGAGCCUGGUUUUUCAAGGCAGGGAUAUGGAUGGGGAUGUGGGAGGUAGCAGGAAGUAAGAGAAGGAGAAAACACUCAACAGGAGACCCAGGGCUGAUGGAAGAAAGCCGCAAAGACGAGGAUCAGCUGCAAUCGUGGGACUCCCACCUAGACCGAGAUGCCUGAAAGAUUGACAAUGUGGGGAUCCAAACACCUGUGUUCACAGGGGCCAAUGCCAUCUGGCUGGCUUGGGAUGCUUACGUGGCGAUGUGGAGUGACCCAGAGGCCUUGCCCUCCAGACCCAGGGAGAAGACGUCACCAAGGGCAACUCAAGCCUUACCUGUGCGUCACCUGGGAGCCUCGAAGGCUGGACAUGGUUUCUUCCAGGUUCUGUCGAAGAUCCAGAACAUUCUGUACUGUCCUCUUUCUCUGUGACUCCGGAUCUGGCAAGGAGAGCAGAAGGAGCUGGUGAAUGAAGGGAACUGGGGGCCAGGGAAGGGGAGCCAGACCCUGGGGCCAGCCACCUGCUUCUUCUGUUCCCCAAAGAUGACCAACAGAGCAGGUACUAUUAAAGGCUUCUAUAUAUGCCCCAGGCUGGCUGAAAGCCCAACCCUGACAAGGGCUGCAGACAGGCCACUGCACUCCCCCCCCCCUCUCUGAGUGACUGCCACUACCUCUGGCUUUGGUUUUGGGAGGCUCUUCUCACAGCAGAGGCAGAAGUUACAGGUGGAGCCAUCUUCAGGUUCCCAGGGUCCUGACAGUGGGGCGCAAAGUGGGUCUAUCAGAAACUUGCCAAGAGCAUGACUGGACCUGGUGACAGACAGUAACAGAAGAGGUAGAAGCAGCAAGCAGAAAUGGGUCGGAUUUGGUGAGCGAUUGAACAAAUGCAGGAGACAGAGAGACAAAGGAGAAACGGUAAGAGAGCUGCAGGACAAGCCAGCCUGGCCAGUCUAGAUGGGAAUCCUCCACCAUUUCCUGGUUUAUCCCUAAGGAUCAAGACUGUUGCAGAAUUCUCCAAACCCCCACCCAGCAAAAUGAACAGCACAAUAAACUCAACCUCAUCUACCAAUUGAGAAAUACACUGCUGGACUACAUCUCAGAGGGUGGGAGGAGCUUCAAGCCGCCACUUGCCUCCAGGUGCUUCACUUCCCCAGAUGCACACUGCUAAUUGCAAGCCCCCAGGUUCUUGUUCUCCAAACACCUCCACCCGCCUUGGGAGACAAGUUGUGAAUGAGACCACUACCCAGCUUGGCUAAGGGAAAGGUGUGGAGAAGACCAGCUGCUGCCCUCUGCCGCAGCGCGGGAGGGCAGUGAAGGAGGGGCUUUAUUUGGGUGACUGCCGAAGCAGGCAGAGUUCCCUGGGGUCUUCAAGGACACUGAGUAGGAGCAAGAAGCAGAGCCAGCUGUGUAUCUGGUGAAAGUUUCCAGCUCUUAAGGAGAUUUGGAGGCUGAGAAGAGACUACCCAUGAGAGAAGAUUCGAGAAAGCAAGAUUCUCUUGGUUCUGGAAGGAAUGGAGGCCCAGGAGUGAACAGUCCAAUUACAUCCCCACACUGUAGGAGUAGUUAGUGCAAAGCAGAAGGCAAUGGAUGUGGGCUCCUGGCUUGGCAAAGAGUGCCACGUCCAUAGCAUUCUAGAAAGAGAGCUCAAUAGCCCUAACUGUAACCCUACCUACUAGAGUGCUGUUGUGGGUCUGUGAGCUGAGGAAGGCUGCAGAGGUAAAAACACAUGCUCUCCAAGCCCCACCUAAACUCUCCUGGUCUGGAUGUAAGCCCAAGUAGGGGGAAAGGACCACAGAAAUUCUGAAAUGAAACAUCUUGGCCUUCAGGUUCCUCUCCUACCCUUCGAUUUCAGAAAAUUGUCCAAUGGUUCCACCAGGGCAAUGGCCCAUCCCACAGUUUGCUCAAGUACCACCAUACUGUAGGUGGAGCCGGGGAAAAGACGGCAAGAGGUGGGCCAUGAAAUUCAGACACCCUGUGUCUCAUCUGGUGUCUACUGUGAGGCAAUGGAAGAACAGGAUUGUCUGUAGUGGCUCUCAGCAUGCCCAGUGUCUGUGUGGCUCUCCCAGUAUCAUGACAAAGGGAUCUUCGAGUCUCCACAUUGAGCUUAUGAUAGGCCACCUUUGACAAGAAGGUCCUGUCAGCAAAGAGACUAUGAGAGACGGCUGGCUCCAGUCCUCAGCACCCUCCUGGCAUUUCCAGUCUCAGUUAACAGUGUCCAGACAGCUCCUGGCCGAUAGUCCAUGUCUACGCCCUGAGCAGAGUUGGUAUUCAACUGCAGUGUCAUAGCUGCAUCCACAGACCUGUGCCUGUGUCUCUCCCUGAGUGUCUGCCUAGGUCCUCUCUUCCCCCAGUAGGUUAGGGACUCUCUGUGGGCAGGGCCUGUUUCUUUGCUCUGCAUUUCUGUGCUGAGCCUGGCUGAGGAUUCAGAGUGUUGGGAGCUGAGAGUGGACCACACUGGAGGUGGCUGAUAGCAAUGGGCCUAACACUUCCACUUGUGAAGAGGAGGAGAGAAAGAUGUGGUUGAGUCUCACUUUAGGAGAGGCUAGGAAUAACUACGAACUCUGCUUCAGGGGCUGGAAAGAUGGCUCAGCAAUUUGGAGCACUUGUUGCUCUUGUAGAAGACCCAUGUUUGAUUCCAGACACCUACACAUGGUGGCUCACAACCAUACCUAAAUCCUGUUCCAGGGGCUCCAACCUCCUUUUCUGGCCUCCUCAGACACCAGGCACACGUGCGACACACAUACAUACACACAGGCAAAACACUCAAGAAGAAUUCUGCCUCAGCCAUUCCAUCGUCUCCCAUUGUUCCUGGUGCUCUCCAGCAUUUGAUCAUCUCUAGCUACUAUGCCAAGAGAAGGAACAGAAGUGAAAUCUGGUACGUGUGUGCCUCCCACGACUCUCCCUUACAAAUGCACUCUUGUUUUACUCAUAUAUGCCACGGCCCAUCUGGGGGUCUUGUCUGCCCACAUGCAGGAAGCCUUGGACUCCAAUCUUAAGAGCAACCUACAAAAUAUGGGGACAAGAUCUGAAUUUUUUUUUUAACUUUUGUUGCAUUCUCACAGAGCCUAAAACAAUGCAUUCAUUAAAAAACAGCGAGAGUGUAUGAUUAAACUCACUUUUUUUUUUAGCCUGUGAAAAGUGUUAUUUCUAAAAUUAACAGCAGUACUUCUGAAAAGCCAAGAAUCAGGCUUGUAUUUGACCCUAAUGCCUGUUGGCCAGAAGAGCUUUGGAACACCACUGUUCACUCCAUCAGGCUACAGAAACAACAGAGCACAGGUACCUGGGCAUCUCUGGGGCUAUGAGCUCAUAUAGCAGAACUUUUUUUGUAGUAUGCAUAUCAGACCUGCCUUCCGGGAUGCAGAAUUCAGCUCUCACUAUAGAGACACAGGUUACCGAGCUCUUAAAGUGCCCCAACUGUCCCAUUUGCAGGCCCACUUUGUUUCUGUGGCCUCUUGGCCCCCAGACACCUAUGUUAAGGCUACAGGUGUCUGGAGUACGAUCACUCAUGGUAGUGGGCUCAGAUAAGUAACCUAAGCCCCAUGUUCCUCCACUUCCUGCUUUUCAAGUGUGAAUUCUGAGGACAGUAAGCCAUGUUUUGUAGUAUUGUGAGGAUUUGUGGACCUACUAUGCAAAGGUAACCCAGCAAUGCCUAGCACAAUGAAAAUGUUCUAAUAUCUAAAGUCUGGGUAAACUGGCCUCACAGCCAGUUCCCAGGGACCUCUGUGUUGUGUCCUGAGGAAAGGAGAAGUAACAUGAAAAGGAGAGAGGGCACUGCUCAGGGUAGGGAUGAGAAAAGAUGUGGAGGUCAGGAUGACAAAGCUAGUCUUAUGUUACCCACCUUUCUUUCAUAAACUGGGGCUAAACUUCAUGCAGAUUCAAGAGCCUUCUAAGGGCUCUACCUCAGGCCUACAUGACAUGACUCACCAGAGAUAAAGGCCAGUGACUAGAUAAAGGACUAUGACUAGUGGUAUGGUUCCCCAUGGGAUCUCCUAGACAAGGGCCCCUUUGUGGCCAAGUCCACUGACCAGACAGUUGGUAUACUGUGUGAGGAAUGCACCGUGUCCAAAGAGGUCCCCCUCCCCCCACCAUCCACACAACUGUGUCUUCUGUUGAUGACAAGUACCCCCAUCCCAGCAGCAACUAGGAAGAAUGGAGCAAAUAACCUCUACUUGGAAGAGAUGCAUAAGCUGAGGACCCAGGAGGUAAAAUGAGUUGUUCAGGGUCUCAGAGAAACACUGUGGACCAAGUGUACAGUCCUUGCUAUUGGAAGAGCUUGGUUUACCAUCUCACCUGUGUCAUGCCAGCAGAGGUGGGUAGGGAGGCAGGUACAGGGUGGUCAGUUAUGUACAAGGGUGCUUUAACAUGUGGGAGCUCUCAGUUGAGCUCAUAAAAAACUGAGUGGAGUAAAUGUCAAUAAGGCAACAUGGAACACCAAAAUGUAACAUGAGUCACAUGGGGGGCAAUAGUAUCCUCCUGGAAGUCAAGGGUCAAUUACUAUUAUUAUUCUUUAAUCUUGUAUAUGUAUGAUGUGUGUGUUUGAAUAUGGGUGGGUGUCAGCCAUAGUACAUGUAUGAUGGUCAGAGGACAACCUCUGGUGUUGGGCCUUCCCUUCCACCUUCAGACCGUGCCUCUAUUAGUGACCACUACAUACGCCAGGCUGGCUGGCCCACUAGCUUCCAGUGAUUUUCCUAUUACUGUCUCAAAUCCUUGUAGAGGGCCUGGGAUUACAGAUACCUACACUACGGUGCCUCACUUGUACAUGGGUUCUAGAGAUCCAAAUGCAGGUCAUCAAGUUUGUUCUGCAAGCACUUUACCUACCAAACCAUCUCCCCAGCCCCUCAGGGACCAAUUCUACACUUCUGUGAUCUCAAUCAUGGUCUUGGCUCAGUCAAACUUGUUGCCUAAGUAAGUGAACUAAGGCUCUUUGGGGGCUACAUUUAACUCUUCUAUUUGGGCACAUGUGCGGUGGCCAUGAUCUACAUCACAACUACCCAGCUCUGAGAGUACCACACUAGCCUUUUCCGAGACUCGAGAUGGCAUAACGGCUGUAGCCCUCACUAUCACCACCACCACCAAAUGCCUCUGCAAUCACCAUCACCCAAACCAUCUUACCCUCCUCACAUCCCUCAUUUUUCUACUAUCAUCCCAUCACUGGUCAUCACCAUCAGCACCAUCACCAUCACCAUCACCAUCAUCACUAUCUCUAACGCCACCACCAACCAUCAUUGUCACUCUCACUGCUGCGGCCAUUGCCAUGGUCUUCACCACAUCUUCCCACUUCCGACAGUGUGAUUGCCUCUCCUUCUUCCCUGAGUUCAGUUUGUAUGAAUCUUGUGGACUGUAAGUUCAGUUAAAAUUACUUGGUUUUUUGACAAAUGGCAUUAUUACUAGAAAAGUUGAGGAUUUUGUAGUUUUUAAUCAAACGUACAUGCUUUACAUAUAAGAAACUUAUGUAUAGGCAAAAUAAAGUUUGUCAGUUUUAUUUUUAAGUGAAUAUGAAAAAUACACAUAUAUAUGAAAACUUUAAUGAAUGGGAGCACAAAUGAUCACAUCUUGUCACUGAAGACCUUCUGUGGGGUCAGAGGACAAGUUCUCUAGGACCACGGACUCUGUUCUUCCCAGAAUUCCCCUGGCAGGUUGCUCAGCUUCUCUACUUUGAUUGUCUCCCUGGAGCUUAUUCAUGGCCCUGAUGGGGAAUGUCCUUCUGUAUAUGUUUAUCUUAUUGGUUGUUGAAUAAAGCACUGUUUGGCCAAUGAAGCAGAAAGAUAGUUGGGACUAGGAGUUGAGGAGGAUUCUGGGAA
Cricetulus griseus (Chinese hamster) is the source of this 6106-nucleotide non-coding RNA. The record is from RefSeq and is a predicted model, not a curated record. NCBI's taxonomy places the organism in Eukaryota, Metazoa, Chordata, Mammalia, Rodentia, Cricetidae.